GGGGCCUUAGCUCAGUUGGUAGAGCGCUGCCUUUGCAAGGCAGAUGUCAGGAGUUCGAAUCUCCUAGGCUCCACCG
Molecule: transfer RNA, 76 nt
Filed under: Streptomyces griseus subsp. griseus
Lineage: Bacteria; Bacillati; Actinomycetota; Actinomycetes; Kitasatosporales; Streptomycetaceae
Also listed under: 4 other names
Description: tRNA-Ala
Rfam family: tRNA
About the family: Transfer RNA (tRNA) molecules are approximately 80 nucleotides in length. Their secondary structure includes four short double-helical elements and three loops (D, anti-codon, and T loops).
Source: RNAcentral